AGAACCUGAAACCGUGUACGUACAAGCAGUGGGAGCACAGGUUUACCUGUGUGACUGCGUACCUUUUGUAUAAUGGGUCAGCGACUUAUAUUCUGUAGCAAGGUUAACCGUAUAGGGGAGCCGCAGGGAAACCGAGUCUUAACCGGGCGUUAAGUUGCAGGGUAUAGACCCGAAACCCGGUGAUCUAGCCAUGGGCAGGUUGAAGGUUGGGUAACACUAACUGGAGGACCGAACCGACUAAUGUUGAAAAAUUAGCGGAUGACCUGUGGCUGGGGGUGAAAGGCCAAUCAAACCGGGAGAUAGCUGGUUCUCCCCGAAAGCUAUUUAGGUAGCGCCUCGUGAAUUCAUCUCCGGGGGUAGAGCACUGUUUCGGCUAGGGGGCCAUCCCGGCUUACCAACCCGAUGCAAACUGCGAAUACCGGAGAAUGUUAUCACGGGAGACACACGGCGGGUGCUAACGUCCGUCGUGAAGAGGGAAACAACCCAGACCGCCAGCUAAGGUCCCAAAGUCAUGGUUAAGUGGGAAACGAUGUGGGAAGGCCCAGACAGCCAGGAUGUUGGCUUAGAAGCAGCCAUCAUUUAAAGAAAGCGUAAUAGCUCACUGGUCGAGUCGGCCUGCGCGGAAGAUGUAACGGGGCUAAACCAU
Molecule: ribosomal RNA, 646 nt
Filed under: Salmonella enterica subsp. enterica serovar Derby
Lineage: Bacteria; Pseudomonadati; Pseudomonadota; Gammaproteobacteria; Enterobacterales; Enterobacteriaceae
Description: partial 23S ribosomal RNA
Rfam family: Bacterial large subunit ribosomal RNA
Source: RNAcentral